Molecule: ribosomal RNA, 854 nt
Filed under: uncultured archaeon
Lineage: Archaea
Description: bacterial SSU rRNA
Rfam family: Archaeal small subunit ribosomal RNA
Source: RNAcentral
GGUUGAUCCUGCCGGAGGUUACUGCUAUCUGAAUCCGACUAAAACAUGCUAGUCCUGGGUUAAACCAGGGCGAACAGCUCAGUAACACGUAGUUAAUCUGCCCUUGGGCUUGGCGUAAUCCCGGGAAACUGGGGCCGAGCACCAGAUAGGUAAUGGGUACUGGAAUGUCCUUUUACCGAACCAAGGAUGAGACUGCGGCCCAUUAGGUCGUUGCUAGGGUAACGUCCUGACAAGCCUGUAAUGGGUUUAGGCCUUGAGAGAGGAAGCCUAGAGAUGGAUUCUGAGACAAGAAUCCAGGUCCUACGGGACGCAGCAGUUGCGAAAAUUCUACAAUGCGCGAAAGCGUGAUAGAGGGAUUCAGAGUGUUUCUCCUUAGGGAGAAACUUUUCCCAAGUCUAAAAAGCUUGGGGAAUAAGUGGUGGGCAAAACGGGUGCCAGCCGCCGCGGUAAUACCCGUGCCACGAGUGGUAACCAUGUUUAUUGGGUUUAAAGUGUUCGUAGCCGGUCUGACAAGUUCUCAAUGAAAUUCCACAGCUAACUGUGGAGCUUGUUGGGAAUACUGCCAGACUUGAGACCGGGAGAGGCCAAGGGUAUUCCAGGGGUAGGGGUAAAAUCCUGUAAUCCUUGGAAGACCACCUGUGGCGAAGGCGCUUGACUAGAACGGAUCUGACGGUGAGGGACGAAAGCUAGGGGAGCGAAGCGGAUUANAUACCCGCGUAGUCCUAGCCGUAAACGAUGCCCACUAGACAUUGGAUAUGCUACGGUGUAUUCAGAGUCGUAGGAAAACCGUUAAGUGGGCCGCCUGGGGAGUACGUUCGCAAGGAUGAAACUUAGAGGAAUUGGCGGGGGAGCAC